This 253-nucleotide ribosomal RNA is filed under the name uncultured bacterium. RNAcentral describes it as "partial 16S ribosomal RNA". It matches the Rfam family "Bacterial small subunit ribosomal RNA", at positions 524 to 776 of the family's 1533-position model. The record is from RNAcentral.
UACGAAGGUCCCAAGCGUUGUUCGGAUUUACUGGGCGUAAAGAGUACGUAGGCGGUGAGGUAAGUCAGAUGUGAAAGCCCAGGGCUCAACCUUGGAACUGCAUCCGAUACUGCCUCACUUGAGUAAUGGAGGGGCAUCUGGAAUUCACGGUGUAGCAGUGAAAUGCGUAGAUAUCGUGAGGAACACUAGUGGCGAAGGCGAGAUGCUGGACAUUUACUGACGCUGAGGUACGAAGGCCAGGGUAGCGAAAAGG